RNAcentral lists this ribosomal RNA (484 nucleotides) under uncultured bacterium. RNAcentral's name for it is "partial 16S ribosomal RNA". It matches the Rfam family "Bacterial small subunit ribosomal RNA", at positions 28 to 523 of the family's 1533-position model. The record is from RNAcentral.
GAUGAACGCUGGCGGUAUGCCUAAUACAUGCGAGUCGUGCGGAAAGGUCCCUUCGGGGAUACUCGAGCGGCGGACGGCAGAGUAACGCGUAGGAACAUACCCCAAACUGAGGGAUAACUGCUCGAAAGAGUAGCUAAUACCGCAUGUGGUCUUCGGACUAAAGCUUCGGCGGUUUGGGAAUGGCCUGCGUUCGAUUAGCUAGUUGGUGAGGUAAAUGCUCACCAAGGCGACGAUCGAUAGCUGGUCUGAGAGGAUGAUCAGCCUGACUGGAACUGAGACACGGUCCAGACUCCUACGGGAGGCAGCAGUGGGGAAUUUUGGACAAUGGGGGCAACCCUGAUCCAGCCAUGCUGCGUGAGUGAAGAAGGCCUUCGGGUUGUAAAGCUCUUUCGGCCGGGAAGAAAUCGCACGGGUUAAUACCCCGUGUGGAUGACGGUACCGGAAUAAGAAGCACCGGCUAACUACGUGCCAGCCGCCGCGGUAA